This 201-nucleotide long non-coding RNA is filed under the name Elaeis guineensis (African oil palm). RNAcentral describes it as "long non-coding RNA (EGUI_LNC023201)". The record is from RNAcentral. Lineage: Eukaryota; Viridiplantae; Streptophyta; Magnoliopsida; Arecales; Arecaceae.
ACCCAAUGUUUCAAAAAUAUACACAUAACUUUCUGAUCAAAUAUAAAAAAUUAAAAUUUAAAUAAUAAAAAAAUUAUAAAAUAUUUUAAAAAUUAAAUAAAUUAGAUAAUAAUGAUAUUAGUAAAAAUUAUCAAAUAGAUUGAUAGUUUAUUUAACAGAAAAAUAUUCACAGAAAGUUACGUGUCACACACACACACACAC